AAAUUUAAUAAUAAAAAUAUUUAUUAACUAAUUUUCUUAAAAAAUAUAAAUACAUACUGUAAAGAAAUUUUAUAACUAAAAUAAAGAAAUAUAAUUUUCCUUUAGUAUCAGGAGCUCUUUAAUCAUUUUAAUAUUUAAUUUUUCCUGAAAAAAGGUCAUCUAUAAAUUUAUUAUAUUAUUAUAGCAAAAAUACUAUUAAUAAAUUUAUUGAAAUUAUACUUUACCCGAACCUUUUGAUAUCCGGUUUCUUUUUAUUUUUAAAAAAUACUUAUUUUUAAAAAGAUAAUUUUUUAAAAUUAUUUAUUUAAAAUAACAUUUUUACAAGGAAUAAAAGUUUCCAAAAAGUUUCAUAACCAACUAUUCACUAUUUAUUUUAAUUUUUCUAAAAAGAUAUCUUUUUUUAAAAAAAAAAAUGAAAGCAUAAGUAGAAUUAAUUAAUUUUUAAUUUAUAAACUAGGCAAUAAAUUGAAUGACUGUUUACCAAAAACAUUUCUUACUGCUUUUAUUGUAAGUAACACCUGCUCAAUGAAUUUUAAAUAGCCGCGGAAAUUUAACCGUGCUAAGGUAGCAUAAUCAUUAGCCUCUUAAUUAGAGGCUUGUAUGAACGGUGAAACAUUUCAACUUCUUUAUUAAUUAAUUUUUUUUAAAUUUAAAUUAAGAAUAAAAAUGUUCUUAUAAAAAAAUUAGACAACAAGACCCUUUUGAACUUCACUUUUGUUUAACUGGGGCAGUUAAAAAAUAAAAAUCUUUUUUAAAUUCUUUUAAUAAAGGAACCAAUAUAAUUGAUUAUAUGAACAAGUUACCAUAGGGAUAACAGCGUAAUAUUUUUUUAAAGCUCUUAUUAAAAAAAAUGAUUACGACCUCGAUGUUGAAUUAGUGUAACUUUAUAGAUGCAGUAAUUUUAAAAGUAGGUCUGUUCGACCAUUAAAACACUACAUGAUUUGAGUUCAAAUCGGUGUAAACCAGAUUGGUUUCUAUCUUUUAUUUCUUUUAUUUAGUACGAAAGGACCAAUAAAUUUAUUAUUAAUA
This 1029-nucleotide ribosomal RNA is filed under the name Araneus diadematus (European garden spider). RNAcentral's name for it is "large subunit ribosomal RNA". The stretch from base 686 to 980 matches the Rfam family "Archaeal large subunit ribosomal RNA", at positions 2158 to 2714 of the family's 2987-position model. Lineage: Eukaryota; Metazoa; Arthropoda; Arachnida; Araneae; Araneidae. The record is from RNAcentral.